GGGGUUGUAGCUCAGUGGUAGAGUGCUCACCUUGCAUGUGGAAGGAACUGGGUUCAAUCCUCAGCACCA
This 69-nucleotide transfer RNA is filed under the name Urocitellus parryii (Arctic ground squirrel). RNAcentral's name for it is "Spermophilus parryii (Arctic ground squirrel) tRNA". It matches the Rfam family "tRNA". Rfam says of the family: Transfer RNA (tRNA) molecules are approximately 80 nucleotides in length. Their secondary structure includes four short double-helical elements and three loops (D, anti-codon, and T loops). RNAcentral also lists the same sequence under 2 other names. Lineage: Eukaryota; Metazoa; Chordata; Mammalia; Rodentia; Sciuridae. The record is from Rfam by way of RNAcentral.